GACGAACGCUGGCGGCGUGCUUAACACAUGCAAGUCGAACGGAAAGGCCCUGCUUUUGUGGGGUGCUCGAGUGGCGAACGGGUGAGUAACACGUGUGUAACCUGCCCUUGACUUUGGGAUAACUUCAGGAAACUGGGGCUACUACCGGAUAGGAGCUCCUGCUGCAUGGUGGGGGUUGGAAAGUUUCGGCGGGUGGGGAUGGACGCGCGGCUUAUGAGCUUGUUGGUGGGGUAGUGGCUUACCCAGGCUUUGACCGAUAGCCGGCCUGAGAGGGGGAACGGCGACAUGGGGCCUGAGGGACGGCCCAGACUGCAACGGGGGGCAGCAGGGGGGAAUAUUGCACAAUGAGCGCAAGCCUGAUGCGGAGGCGUCGGGGGCGUGAAGACGGCCUGCGGGGAGAAAACCGCUGUCGCCUGUGACGAAGCGUGAGUGACGGUAAUGGGUAAAGAAGCACCGGCUAACUACGUG
This 468-nucleotide ribosomal RNA is filed under the name uncultured bacterium. Its description in RNAcentral is "partial 16S ribosomal RNA". It matches the Rfam family "Bacterial small subunit ribosomal RNA", at positions 28 to 507 of the family's 1533-position model. The record is from RNAcentral.